CCCAAUCUCUUCUCUACGUAAAUCCCUAACUAUUUCCCAAAUUCCCAAUCUCAUAACCUUACCUAGAUCUUGUCUUCUCCACGCAAAUCCCCCACCAGCUAGCAUUCGAAAUCACAAGAAUAUCGAACUGGAGUGAGCCUAUAUAAUGCAAAAAAAGCACAUUGUAACCAACAUCGUUCAUCAGAGAAAGAGAGUAGCGGAUGAGACAAGUUCCUGCGUCUGCAACAGAUCUUGCAGUUUCAGCUUCGACACCAGCGGCUACUUAAACUGAGCUCCUGUUGAAGGGAAGGGUUCCAGACCAGCCUUAGAACCAACCUCAGACCAUUCUCAAGAACCCAGAAGCAACAAGAAGAGAAAGUUGUCUCUGUGAGCUAGACAGCGAGUCACCAUUCAUCCAACUAUUUAGACAAUUCAGAAAAUUAGUAGUUGUGAUUGAUUGGAGUUGUGGAGCAAAGAGAACCAAUCUGAUUCCGAAGAUAGCUCCUGGUACAAGAAGGACCCUAGCUAGACGUGCAAAUGUUGUUCGAAUGAAUCAUAGUCCUGUACGGACUCCUGAAAUUGCUGCAAACACUGACAAUAUUGUGGCAAAGAACAUGAGAGGGAAGACUAGAGGAGUUGGAUGUGAAAGAGUCAUACAAACAGCGAACUCGAAGUUGCAUGUAGACUUUCAAAAAGAAGAUGGAAUACCUACUGGAGUAAAUGCAUCAAAGUUGAGUACUGAGGUAGGAAUAGUUGCGAGGAACUAUGCCCCGAUUAGAGUGCUUACUUGGAAGAAAGUUCCCUAUGAUGUCGAAAAACAAAUGAUUGCUCGUAUCACGGUAAUGUAGUUUAAUAUCAUUAUCCAUAUUCUCAUAUUUCCUUAUGAAAAUAAUAUAUAAUACCCAUAUAAGUUUAAUGCAUGUACAUUAUUGAUGAAUUUAUAUCAAUUUUGACA
This is a long non-coding RNA of Pistacia vera, 934 nucleotides long. RefSeq lists it as uncharacterized. Lineage: Eukaryota; Viridiplantae; Streptophyta; Magnoliopsida; Sapindales; Anacardiaceae. The record is from RefSeq and is a predicted model, not a curated record. The transcript has 4 exons.